GCCAAAAAUUAAAGAAUAAUAAAAAAAAUCAGAGAAGAAGGAAGAAAAAGAUGAAGUUGCACUGUUAAGAUAAAAUUGCACUGUUUUAAAAUAACGUUGAACUAUUAUGGACGUAAGUUGCACUAUUUGAGAUGUAAAUUGCACUCUUUAAGAUGAUAGUUACACUCUUUAAACAAAAAUAGUACUCUUUAGGAGAUAUUUACACUGUUUCUUCUCUUAUUGUACUUUUUCAGAUGUAAACUGCGUCCUUUAAAAUAUGUGGGAUCGCUAUAGGUAGGGCCGCCUUGAUAUUUAGCAUCCACUCUUCCAUCGAUCUUUGGCGGAGGAAUACGUGGUGGUCGUAGCCCUCUACGAUCUCUGCGAGAUCCUCGCGGCCAAACUCCCAACCGUUGGAAUCCUACCUCAUCGGCUGCGGCGGUGGCAGAGGAGGAAAAGGAGAGAUGGUGAUCAAUCUUUUUUUUUUAUUUGUAAUCGGGCGAGUGGGCUGAGUGUGGUUGGCUGAGUUGAGAAAUUUUUAUUUUUGAUUGGAUUGUGCUUUAUAUUUAUACUCUAGUAGAUUUUUUCAAAAAGUAUUGGCAUAAAUUGGACACUUAUAUAAAAGUGUCUAAAAAUUAUGUCCCUAUAAUGUAAUUCUAUUGUAGUGCUAUUCUGGAAUUUUGU
Molecule: long non-coding RNA, 660 nt
Filed under: Ananas comosus (pineapple)
Lineage: Eukaryota; Viridiplantae; Streptophyta; Magnoliopsida; Poales; Bromeliaceae
Description: long non-coding RNA (ACOM_LNC018473)
Source: RNAcentral